RNAcentral lists this ribosomal RNA (634 nucleotides) under Klebsiella pneumoniae. RNAcentral describes it as "bacterial SSU rRNA". It matches the Rfam family "Bacterial small subunit ribosomal RNA", at positions 44 to 669 of the family's 1533-position model. Lineage: Bacteria; Pseudomonadati; Pseudomonadota; Gammaproteobacteria; Enterobacterales; Enterobacteriaceae. The record is from RNAcentral.
AGGCCUAACACAUGCAAGUCGAGCGGUAGCACAGAGAGCUUGCUCUCGGGUGACGAGCGGCGGACGGGUGAGUAAUGUCUGGGAAACUGCCUGAUGGAGGGGGAUAACUACUGGAAACGGUAGCUAAUACCGCAUAACGUCGCAAGACCAAAGUGGGGGACCUUCGGGCCUCAUGCCAUCAGAUGUGCCCAGAUGGGAUUAGCUAGUAGGUGGGGUAACGGCUCACCUAGGCGACGAUCCCUAGCUGGUCUGAGAGGAUGACCAGCCACACUGGAACUGAGACACGGUCCAGACUCCUACGGGAGGCAGCAGUGGGGAAUAUUGCACAAUGGGCGCAAGCCUGAUGCAGCCAUGCCGCGUGUGUGAAGAAGGCCUUCGGGUUGUAAAGCACUUUCAGCGGGGAGGAAGGCGGUGAGGUUAAUAACCUCACCGAUUGACGUUACCCGCAGAAGAAGCACCGGCUAACUCCGUGCCAGCAGCCGCGGUAAUACGGAGGGUGCAAGCGUUAAUCGGAAUUACUGGGCGUAAAGCGCACGCAGGCGGUCUGUCAAGUCGGAUGUGAAAUCCCCGGGCUCAACCUGGGAACUGCAUUCGAAACUGGCAGGCUAGAGUCUUGUAGAGGGGGGUAGAAUUC